Homo sapiens (human) is the source of this 486-nucleotide long non-coding RNA. RefSeq lists it as uncharacterized. NCBI's taxonomy places the organism in Eukaryota, Metazoa, Chordata, Mammalia, Primates, Hominidae. The transcript has 2 exons. The record is from RefSeq and is a predicted model, not a curated record.
GAGAUGGCCACUGCUCCCCACUCCCCUCCUCAGGCAGGGACGGCGCCAUCUUCCCCUCAUCCCUGCCCGGCAGGCUGGGCCAGAGCCCCGACGGAGAUGCGCUGCCCAGAUUAGGAACCCAGAAUAGCUCUAGGCACCCCCCUCCCGGACUCUCACAGGGACAGACAGCGGCCGGGAGGUGGGGGUCCCUGUUCCAGCCUGAGGAAGGAGGACCCGGCCCUGCCGAGCCCAGCAAGUGCCAGGUGGAGAUGCCCUCGGCCCCGUGGGGGUAUAGGGGGCACCCUCCCUCCCCCCCUCCCUGUGACUCAGGACCCUGGGUCACAGCCCUGUCCCAUCACAGAGGACUCAUGGCAGUGGGUUCUCUCUUGCUCUUCCGCCUUCUCCCAUGUGAGGACACAGCAAGAAGGCCCUACCAGAUGGCAGCACCUUGAUCCUGGACUUCCUGGCCUCCAGACUGAGAAAUAAACUUCUGUUUACUUAUAAUAA